AACGAACGCUGGCGGCAUGCCUAACACAUGCAAGUCGAACGAAGCCUUCGGGCUUAGUGGCGCACGGGUGCGUAACGCGUGGGAAUCUGCCCCUUGCUUCGGAAUAACAGUUAGAAAUGACUGCUAAUACUGGAUGAAGUCUUCGGACCAAAGAUUUAUCGGCAAGGGAUGAGCCCGCGUAGGAUUAGGUAGUUGGUGGGGUAAAGGCCUACCAAGCCGACGAUCCUUAGCUGGUCUGAGAGGAUGAUCAGCCACACUGGGACUGAGACACGGCCCAGACUCCUACGGGAGGCAGCAGUGGGGAAUAUUGGACAAUGGACGCAAGUCUGAUCCAGCAAUGCCGCGUGAGUGAUGAAGGCCUUAGGGUUGUAAAGCUCUUUUACCAGGGAUGAUAAUGACAGUACCUGGAGAAUAAGCUCCGGCUAACUCCGUG
RNAcentral lists this ribosomal RNA (433 nucleotides) under uncultured bacterium. Its description in RNAcentral is "partial 16S ribosomal RNA". It matches the Rfam family "Bacterial small subunit ribosomal RNA", at positions 29 to 507 of the family's 1533-position model. The record is from RNAcentral.